This 382-nucleotide ribosomal RNA is filed under the name uncultured eukaryote. Its description in RNAcentral is "SSU rRNA". It matches the Rfam family "Eukaryotic small subunit ribosomal RNA", at positions 587 to 969 of the family's 1831-position model. The record is from RNAcentral.
AGCUCCAAUAGCGUAUAUUAAAGUUGUUGCAGUUAAAAAGCUCGUAGUUGGAUUUCUGGUGGGAGUGAUCGGUCCUUCACUUUGUGUUGGAACCUGAUUGUCUCCUGCCAUCCAUGGAGAGAACUUAUCUGGCAUUAAGUUGUCGGGUAGGCGAUCUCCAUCCUUUACUGUGAAAAAAUUAGAGUGUUCAAAGCAGGCUUAUGCCGUUGAAUACAUUAGCAUGGAAUAAUAGAAUAGGACUUCUGGUUCUAUUUUGUUGGUGUUUGGAGCCGAAGUAAUGAUUAAUAGGGAUAGUUGGGGGCACUCGUACUCCGUUGUCAGAGGUGAAAUUCUUGGAUUGACGGAAGACGAACAACUGCGAAAGCAUCUGCCAAGGAUGUUU